Molecule: long non-coding RNA, 767 nt
Filed under: Rattus norvegicus (Norway rat)
Lineage: Eukaryota; Metazoa; Chordata; Mammalia; Rodentia; Muridae
Description: long non-coding RNA NONRATT003312
Source: RNAcentral
ACAGCAAGGCUUUGAAAUGAGUAUCUGGUGCUUACAGCGCAGUGCCCAGUAACCACAUGCUCUCUACCAAGUGUUUCCCAACUCUUGGCACUAUCCAAGAAAGAAUUCAGAGAUGAGACCAAGUAAAGAAUUAAGAGAAAGUACUACUACAGAGAGAAGUCCACACUCUAGAAGCAAAUGUGUGCAGGCUUCUCAAGGGAAAACCUAUGGCCAUGAUUUUGAAUGCUCUGUCUUAUGGGCAAGCUUUAGAAGAGGAGAAGAUUAUUCAAGAGUUAAAGUAGGGAAAGAAUGAAUGUAUGGGCACUUUCCAGAAUUAAGGUUUAUUUUCUGUCCUUAUGGGUUUGGGCUUGUCAUGAUACCAGAUGCAUAAUGGGAGCAGGCGAAUUUGCACUGCCAGUGACAUGGAAAUGCUGCUAUAAAGAAGCAAAGAUUAGCGUCCAUUUUCAUCCCAGCGUCCCGAGUACUUUUGUCAGACACUUUGCACGGAUACUGAUGUGCUGCUGCUGCUGCUGCUGCUGCUGCUGCUGCUGCUGCUGCUGCACUCUGCAAUAGCAUCACACCCAAGCUGCAGUGUAAUUACCUUUAGUUUUCCCUGUCCCUAGUCUACCUCACAACCCUUUUAUUCUACAAAAAUCCAUCCAUCAGCUGAUCAGUGUCCACACCACUUGGUAGUAGAUGUCUGCUGUGAAUUGCGUACCCCAUCCAGACUCGAUAGACUGAAGCCCUAACUCCACAUUCAGUUAUUGAGAAAUAAGGCAUAUCCUGAA